Molecule: ribosomal RNA, 253 nt
Filed under: uncultured bacterium
Lineage: Bacteria
Description: partial 16S ribosomal RNA
Rfam family: Bacterial small subunit ribosomal RNA
Source: RNAcentral
UACAGAGGGUGCAAGCGUUGCUCGGAAUCAUUGGGCGUAAAGCGCACGUAGGCGGUUCGUUAUGUCGGAUGUGAAAGCCCUUGGCUUAACCGAGGAAGUGCAUCCGAAACUGGCGAGCUAGAGUACGAAAGAGGAUCGCGGAAUUCCCGGUGUAGAGGUGAAAUUCGUAGAUAUCGGGAGGAACACCGGUGGCGAAGGCGGCGAUCUGGGUCGAUACUGACGCUGAGGUGCGAAAGCGUGGGGAGCAAACAGG